This 431-nucleotide ribosomal RNA is filed under the name uncultured bacterium. RNAcentral's name for it is "bacterial SSU rRNA". It matches the Rfam family "Bacterial small subunit ribosomal RNA", at positions 355 to 786 of the family's 1533-position model. The record is from RNAcentral.
UGAGGAAUAUUGGUCAAUGGUCGGGAGACUGAACCAGCCAAGCCGCGUGAGGGAUGAAGGUGCUAAGCAUUGUAAACCUCUUUUGUCAGGGAACAAAGGCAUCCACGAGUGGGUGUGUGAGUGUACCUGAAGAAAAAGCAUCGGCUAACUCCGUGCCAGCAGCCGCGGUAAUACGGAGGAUGCGAGCGUUAUCCGGAUUUAUUGGGUUUAAAGGGUGCGUAGGCGGCCUGUUAAGUCAGCGGUAAAAGCCCGGGGCUCAACCCGGCGAGCGUUGAACUGGCUGGCUGGAGUUGGCGAGAGGUAUGCGGAAUGCGCGGUGUAGCGGUGAAAUGCUUAGAUAUCGCGCAGAACUCCGAUUGCGAAGGCAGCAUGCCGGCGCCACACUGGCGCUGAGGCACGAAAGGCGUGGGGAUCAAACAGGAUUAGAUACC